Molecule: long non-coding RNA, 836 nt
Filed under: Elaeis guineensis (African oil palm)
Lineage: Eukaryota; Viridiplantae; Streptophyta; Magnoliopsida; Arecales; Arecaceae
Description: long non-coding RNA (EGUI_LNC050821)
Source: RNAcentral
AGAAUUUUCUUGGUGUGACAGAGAUGCAUGUAUGAAGCUUCUUCUAUCUGCAGCAAUAUUAUUUAAGCAAUCAUCAUGGACCAUGAGAAAGAUAUAUGCAUGAUUCGAAACUAUCUAUAUAUCAUGCAUCAUGUAGCAAUUAAGCCAGCCCAUCAUAGUGAACGUAACGUGCGUAGACAUCUAUAAGCUCCAAUCAAGAAAAAAUUCAAGGAACAAAAGAAGAAAAAGAAAAAAACUAAACAUAAGCUAGCCAUAUGAGCAUGUGUUCAGAUUGUAUAUAUGUGAAUCUUUUUUCAAAAAAUCUAUUUUCGUAUGGAAAACCUCAAAUGGCAAAAUUGAUGGAGUUAAACUUUUGCCGAAGCCAUAAUGGCAAGUCAUAACCGAAACUGGGAUAGCAAGUGGACUGCAUAACACCAUAAAUCUGAACAGCUGCAUGAUGGAGAACCUUAGGAUGCCUAUAACUUGAUAGGAGGGAAUGGAAGAGAGAGAAGUUUGCUUUGUGUGCUGUCUGGCCUCUGAGACAUCCCCCAUCGGGUAUUUAUAGAGGCAACCGCUUGCAUGCAUCGCUGCAAAUUUUGUGUCAGGAUAAACGGCCCAGUUAUUCGCAUUAUCUAAUUACCCUAGGCUUAGAUAUGCGUCACAUGCUAUCAAAGGCCUUAAUGAUUUUUUUUUGCAAAGUCAAAUUAUUUUAGUAUCAAUGAAAAUUUUCCAAAAUAGAAACGUGCAUUGAGUUCGCUCGCUCUCUCUUGUAGAUAUGCUUUAUGAGCAAGUGAGAGGGUUAUAUUGGGCAGGUGAUAGACUUGAUGAGCAAACGAUUGGCUGAGUCAUGAGCAGGC